This 89-nucleotide transfer RNA is filed under the name Streptomyces xantholiticus. RNAcentral's name for it is "tRNA-Glu". The record is from RNAcentral. Lineage: Bacteria; Bacillati; Actinomycetota; Actinomycetes; Kitasatosporales; Streptomycetaceae.
GAGGUCGUGGACUGGAUGGACGAGCCGGAGGUCUUCGACCCCCGGCUGCCGCUGGUCACCCGCCGGAUCGCGGCCGGAACGACCUUGCC